CUUCCGUAGGGNUAACCUUGCGGAAGGAUCAUUACCGAGUGAGGGCCCUCUGGGUCCAACCUCCCACCCGUGUUUAUUUUACCUUGUUGCUUCGGCGGGCCCGCCUUAACUGGCCGCCGGGGGGCUUACGCCCCCGGGCCCGCGCCCGCCGAAGACACCCUCGAACUCUGUCUGAAGAUUGUAGUCUGAGUGAAAAUAUAAAUUAUUUAAAACUUUCAACAACGGAUCUCUUGGUUCCGGCAUCGAUGAAGAACGCAGCGAAAUGCGAUACGUAAUGUGAAUUGCAAAUUCAGUGAAUCAUCGAGUCUUUGAACGCACAUUGCGCCCCCUGGUAUUCCGGGGGGCAUGCCUGUCCGAGCGUCAUUGCUGCCCUCAAGCACGGCUUGUGUGUUGGGCCCCGUCCUCCGAUCCCGGGGGACGGGCCCGAAAGGCAGCGGCGGCACCGCGUCCGGUCCUCGAGCGUAUGGGGCUUUGUCACCCGCUCUGUAGGCCCGGCCGGCGCUUGCCGAUCAACCCAAAUUUUUAUCCAGGUGACCUCGGAUCAGGNAGGANCCCCA
Molecule: ribosomal RNA, 557 nt
Filed under: Penicillium griseofulvum
Lineage: Eukaryota; Fungi; Ascomycota; Eurotiomycetes; Eurotiales; Aspergillaceae
Description: eukaryotic LSU rRNA
Rfam family: 5.8S ribosomal RNA (bases 211-363)
Source: RNAcentral